Long non-coding RNA from Panthera uncia (snow leopard), 2990 nucleotides. RefSeq lists it as uncharacterized. The transcript is spliced from 3 exons. The record is from RefSeq and is a predicted model, not a curated record. NCBI's taxonomy places the organism in Eukaryota, Metazoa, Chordata, Mammalia, Carnivora, Felidae.
UCUCUGCUCUGAAGACUCUGCAGACUGUCUACUCCCUGUGGAGCCAAAGAAGGGCCAGCCAGGCUGGAGGAGCAGCCCAGGCUCAGUCAAGGUCAUAGGUGUCUCAGCUCUCCCAGGGAAGUACAAGUUCACAAGGUACAGCUGUAACAAGUUAAACUUAUGCAACCAAGUAGUAAUUGAAAUGCCAACGUAGCUCUGCGAUAAAAUGUAUAUAUAUUUGGAUUUUGUCAUGGACUCUUGCUAUAGAGCUCCUAAAACCCUUGGAAUUUCCUGGGUAUGAGGAGUUCUUUUUUCUUCAUAAGUGUCCCCUUUUAUCACAAAGGAGUUUAUUUUAAUGAGCUGAUUUAGGGCGGGGGCCCUAGAUAGCCUCAAGUUGGGGCCGGUCACCAGAAAGACCAGGUGAUUAGAAGUUUAAACUUUCGGGGCACCUGGCUGGCUCAGUUGGAGAGCAUGUGACACUUGACUUCAGGAUCGUGAGUUUGAUAUGUUGGGUUUGGAGAUUACUUAAAAAUAAAUAAAAUGCUUUUUAAAAAGAACUUUUUUUUUUUUUUAAUGAGGCUGAUUUUAUUUUUAUUUUUUUGACAGGAUGGGGGGGGAAUCCCAAGCACCGUGAGAUCAUGACCUGAGCAGAAAUCAAGAGUCGGACGCUUAACUGACUGAACAACCCAGGCGCCCCCCACCAAAAAAGAACCCCCUACCUCCCAGAUGGGAGGGGAGCUGGAGGUAUAAAAACUGUCGAGCAGUGAGAUCCAGGGAGCCUCCAGGGUGAGAGAGUCUGGCAUCACUCCAGGAUGUUUGUUUUUAGCUGCAAGUGUGUGAGUGCCGUCGCUGAGGUGGAAAGUCCAGAGCAGGAGCACUUAACAGAAGCAAGUCUCUGGAGUUCGGAGUACUUAACGGAGGCACUCUCAGGAGUCAGGAGCACUUAACAGAAGCACUCUCAGGAGUUAGGUUUUUGCAUGUUGCAUCUGAGAUAUUGCAGGGACCUCUGAGUGGAGGUGGCAAGUGGGCGUCUAGAAGCACAUCUGGAUUUCAAGGAAGGAAGGCGUUAAGGUUUGAGGAUACCACACCCCUCAGCAGCAGCAGGUGUACAGACGGUGUCACAGGUAAGAGGAUGCCCUCAGCAGAUCACGGUGGCGGUGCCAGUACAGGGGAAGGACGGGGAGGAUAUCCAUGGACUGGCUCACUUGCUUCGGCACCCGGAUGGGGAUGGCCGUCAUCACAAAGACAUGAGGAGGUACGGUGACCACGAAUGUGUGUAAGAGAGAGAGUUACGAGGGUACGGGCCUCAGGUGGGGGUCCAGGUGGUGGCAUGGGAUUCCCAGGGGCUGGAUGUGAUCUCCUGAGAGGCAGGGCAGUGAUGGAGGUCCGGUGACACUGAGGAAGGCAUGGUACUUGUUCCCCUCUGCAGGUUUGGGUUUGUGCCAGCUCCUGCUGGGGCCUGAAGAGUGUCUGACGGGAUGACAGAUUCAUUGAGGGGUAAAGGAGUUCCGCCGCAAGAGUCUCUUGGGUCGUGGUGGGAGAAGUGGGCCUGGGCUUUGAAUGAGGAGGUGGAGAGGGACAGGUGUGACUGGAGAGGGGACAGCGCAAACCAUGCUGAGGAGGGCUUAGGGGGUCUGAUCUCACACACGCUGGGGUGGCUGAUGUCAGGACAAGGAGCCAGGCCAGGCGGGGAGGUCCUCAGAGCAGUGCCUGGGGUAGCCCCGGGUCCUGUCGCGUUCGGCAGGCACUGCCUGGGUGCCACAUGCAGAGUGGCCUAUGGGAAGCCAGAGAGAUGCCUGUGACACGGGCUGGAGGCGGCAGUGGUGUCAUGGGUCCCGUGGUCACGGCCUGGCACGUGAGGGAGGAGUGAUCCCAUUGUGCUGUGCGAAUGGGGAAGGGGGUGUGAGGGUGCACUCAGCCCCCUCGUACUCAGGGUUUAAGCCGGAAGGCUGAGCGUGAGUCCAUGUGGCUGUGAUCUUCGUGUCCCAGGAGAGCUGACCAUGCGGGAAGUGGCCUGGGGCACAGAUAAGACCGCCCCCUCCCCAUCUGUUCUCACCGACAAUCGGCAGCAGUGAUGAGCGGGCACGAGGAAGAGCGGGUACCAGUGGACCAGGGCCUGGUACCUCCUCUGAGUGAGGGAGCUGGGGAGGAGGGCCAUGGCCUUGGGAUCCUGCUUAUGAACUCUUCUGCCCCCAUCAUGACAGGGCCACGGGACCUUUGAGGACGUGGCUGUGUACUUCUCUCAGGAGGAGUGGGGGCUCCUGGGUGAGGUUCAGAGACACCUGUACCAUGGUGUGAUGCUGGAGAAUUUGGCCCUUAUAGCCUCGCUGGGUUGUUGGCAUGGGAUAAAAGCUAAGGAAGCCUUUUCUGAACAGAGUUUUUGUGGAAAGAGUGUCACAGGCCAGGAUACCAGAUCCAGGCCUAUUUGUUCCUGAGGCUCCUUCCUGUGAUACAUGUGUCCCAGUGAAGAAAGACAUCUUCAACCCAGCUGAGCGUGAAGGGACGCACGCUGGGCUGAAGCCAUGCACUUGUGGGCCUCGUGGGAAACUGCGCUUGCUCAGUUCACACCUCCACCAGCACCGGAGACAGAACCCCGGAGAGAAGGCCCUCAGAACGGAGGAGAAUGGGGCUCUGUUUGUGAAGAGCAGGAUCCCCGUGUCAGACAACAUUUUCCCCAAUGGAGAGGCCGAGAAGGAUUUCCUGGGCGGCGUGGACCUUCUCCAGCACCAGGCCGUCCCCAGUGGAGAACGUCCGCACGGAGGCAGGGGGAGCAGGGUGGUUUCUCGCCCUCGGCAAGGGCAGUGCAGCGCAGCGAGCAUGGGCAGCCCUGCCACUGAAAGGUUAAGUUCACAGAGCAGCAGAGUGCUUAUGCCGGAGAAGGCCUUCAUAAGCGUGGGCAGUGUGAGAAGUCCUUUGUCCACAAAAAAAGGCUUCUCGAGCACCAGGGAAUCCACGCUGGAGGAAAGCCUCGUGCGUGCAGCAAACGUGGGAAGUCCUGUAAGUACAGAUCU